CUCCUAAAAGGUAACGGAGGCGCUCAAAGGUUCCCUCAGAAUGGUUGGAAAUCAUUCAUAGAGUGUAAAGGCAUAAGGGAGCUUGACUGCGAGACCUACAAGUCGAGCAGGGUCGAAAGACGGACUUAGUGAUCCGGUGGUUCCGCAUGGAAGGGCCAUCGCUCAACGGAUAAAAGCUACCCCGGGGAUAACAGGCUUAUCUCCCCCAAGAGUUCACAUCGACGGGGAGGUUUGGCACCUCGAUGUCGGCUCAUCGCAUCCUGGGGCUGUAGUCGGUCCCAAGGGUUGGGCUGUUCGCCCAUUAAAGCGGUACGCGAGCUGGGUUCAGAACGUCGUGAGACAGUUCGGUCCCUAUCCGUCGUGGGCGUAGGAAAUUUGAGAGGAGCUGUCCUUAGUACGAGAGGACCGGGAUGGACAUACCUCUGGUGUACCAGUUGUCGUGCCAACGGCAUAGCUGGGUAGCUAUGUGUGGACGGGAUAAGUGCUGAAAGCAUCUAAGCAUGAAGCCCCCC
Molecule: ribosomal RNA, 512 nt
Filed under: Staphylococcus aureus
Lineage: Bacteria; Bacillati; Bacillota; Bacilli; Caryophanales; Staphylococcaceae
Description: partial 23S ribosomal RNA
Rfam family: Bacterial large subunit ribosomal RNA
Source: RNAcentral